UGGGGAAUAUUGCACAAUGGGCGCAAGCCUGAUGCAGCCAUGCCGCGUGUGUGAAGAAGGCCUUCGGGUUGUAAAGUACUUUCAGCGGGGAGGAAGGGAGUAAAGUUAAUACCUUUGCUCAUUGACGUUACCCGCAGAAGAAGCACCGGCUAACUCCGUGCCAGCAGCCGCGGUAAUACGGAGGGUGCAAGCGUUAAUCGGAAUUACUGGGCGUAAAGCGCACGCAGGCGGUUGAUUGAGUCAGAUGUGAAAUCCCCGGGCUUAACCCGGGAAUUGCAUCUGAUACUGGUCAGCUAGAGUCUUGUAGAGGGGGGUAGAAUUCCAUGUGUAGCGGUGAAAUGCGUAGAGAUGUGGAGGAAUACCGGUGGCGAAGGCGGCCCCCUGGACAAAGACUGACGCUCAGGUGCGAAAGCGUGGGGAGCAAACAGG
Molecule: ribosomal RNA, 429 nt
Filed under: Chloroflexota bacterium
Lineage: Bacteria; Bacillati; Chloroflexota
Description: Chloroflexi bacterium partial 16S ribosomal RNA
Rfam family: Bacterial small subunit ribosomal RNA
Source: RNAcentral